UCCCCAUCAGCCUGUUUUAUGUUUGAAUAUUUUUGGCCUGCGUCCUGCUUUGAGGUCCUUCCUGCCUCGCCUGCACCAGCCGUGACAACCUAGUGUUUUUCUUGAGUUCCUGUGAACUGAUGUCGUUAACUCUACAAUGGCUACACCUGGCUUCAAGACCUAUGUAGCCUUCAUCAGCUAUAAACCUAAAAGUGGCUUGUGAUGCUCUUUAAUGUUUUAAACAGUGAAGCAACUAUCUGCGAGUGGUCUACAGAUAUUUCUUCUGCAAACGACCAAAGCGUCCUUUUAACCAGCAGAUGCUUUGCUGUGGAUUCAGCACCUUAUUUGAUAGGAAGACCAACCCACCUCCACUGUGAAAUGACUCUCAGAACCAUUCUCAGAACGAAAAGCUGACAGGAAUGAGCAGACCGAGCUUCAGAGCAGAGAGAAGGCAGCUGGACAUGUGCCUGGAAAAAAAUCCACAUAUGGGAUGCUGUCACAUGGGGUGUGGAGUGGUAAUAAAUCAAAUGUUAUGUAUCUUCAAAAUGUGUGGAAUAUA
Molecule: long non-coding RNA, 538 nt
Organism: Archocentrus centrarchus (flier cichlid)
Lineage: Eukaryota; Metazoa; Chordata; Actinopteri; Cichliformes; Cichlidae
Exons: 4
Source: RefSeq, a predicted model, not a curated record